RNAcentral lists this unclassified non-coding RNA (337 nucleotides) under soil metagenome. Its description in RNAcentral is "partial contains 5.8S ribosomal RNA, internal transcribed spacer 2, and large subunit ribosomal RNA". The stretch from base 1 to 120 matches the Rfam family "5.8S ribosomal RNA", at positions 35 to 154 of the family's 154-position model. The record is from RNAcentral.
GAUGAAGAACGUAGCGAAAUGCGAUAAGUAGUGUGAAUUGCAGAAUUCAGUGAAUCAUCGAAUCUUUGAACGCACAUUGCGCCCCGUGGUAUUCCAUGGGGCAUGCCUGUUCGAGCGUCAUUUGUACCUUCAAGCUCUGCUUGGUGUUGGGAGUUUGUCUCGCCUCUGCGUGUAGACUCGCCUCAAAACAAUUGGCAGCCGGCGUAUUGAUUUCGGAGCGCAGUACAUCUCGCGCUUUGCACUCAUAACGACGACGUCCAAAAGUACAUUUUUACACUCUUGACCUCGGAUCAGGUAGGGAUACCCGCUGAACUUAAGCAUAUCAAUAAGCGGAGGA